GGAUGACACAGAGAGACUAACCCAGACCUGUGUCCUCUCCUCUGCCCCCUCAGACCCCUGCCCAGGUGAAACCCUGCCAGAGGAGGUCAGCGACGGCCACCAACAGGCUCAGGAUGACCCUUACGGACCUUCUCUCCUUCCUUACUCCGGACAGGACGUUUCCCAAACAGGCCUCGACUUUGCUUCACUUGGACCAGAGCCUAUGAUCUCCCCGCCCAAUGCAGAGGCAGAAGAAAAAGGAGCCUCUCCUCUGCCUCAGGGCCCAACACACACCCCCACUCGGAACAUCUCUCUAUCGCAAUGCACCACUGUAGAGUCCCUCUCACUCUCCUUCUCGGCUGAGGAGUCGGCACCCCAGGAGGAGCAGAGAGACGAACCCCCAUCCCUGUCGCUGCCACAGCCCGACACAGAAGACCCAAAAGUCCCAGAUACGCCUGCAGCCCCAGAAGGCGAAGCAGCAAGAGAUGCAGCUGGAAAGGCAGAGAGAGCAGAGGAGCACACCCUGGAGAUAAGCCAGAGGGAGGUGCGGAGGCUGAAGUGCCUGAGGACCUUCCAGCAGAUCCUUCGGGAGAAGAGGGAGUCACGGCGCCAGCUCAUCAGCAUGACCAUGUCCACCUUCAAGGAGGACAACCUCAUUCCAGAUGGAAGUCGACAUGACGAUCAGGGCCGAGACAGAGAUGGAGAGCCCAGCAAGCA
Oncorhynchus tshawytscha (Chinook salmon) is the source of this 696-nucleotide long non-coding RNA. The record is from Ensembl. Lineage: Eukaryota; Metazoa; Chordata; Actinopteri; Salmoniformes; Salmonidae.